UGUUACCAUGGUCCUGUGUAAAACAGAAGUUGUGAUUUAUUUACAGAGGCCCUUGCUUGCCUUUCCCCACGUUUUCCUGCUAUCCUAAACAGCUUCAGACUGUUGCUGGCGACGGUAACGUUACUAUAUGGCUUUCUUCGGGAUAACGAAUUUGGGCUAUCACAACCCCAUCGGAGACAAUAUGUUAGUGAGUCCAAGAUCGUCUGCUUCUCCCCGAGAUGAGGUUGAUUCAAGGAGCUGGGCUAAACAGUCAGGACUGCCCUCCAUCCAAGUCCAGACGGGACCCCUAAAAUGCACUGAUACCGGCAGUAUCUACAACCAGCCUUCUCCCUUCAGCCCAGACAUAGACCAAGGGAGCCAGGAGCGAUACAGAGAGAUGCUCAAACGGGUUCAGAUACCAAGAUGUAAGUUAGAUCCCCGAAUCAGCUGUACUCAGUGCCCCUGACAGACAGACAGCAGUGUGGAUGGUGGAUGCCUAAUGGAGGCCAAGGAAAGAUGCACGAACCCUGGACCAAAGUGAGACGAUUUCCCCAGCAAGAACAGUGAGAUGACCAAGUUUGUGAAAGAGAUGUCAAUGACGGACCGAGAGUUCAGCUUAUUCUGAGUUCCACUCCUGCAGUAACACACACACACACAAUCCCAUCCAAAGACCUCUGGGACCUUUAAACUGUAAGGACUAUUGUGGUUUAAUAAACUGAGACAUUUUCAUCA
Molecule: long non-coding RNA, 711 nt
Organism: Salmo salar (Atlantic salmon)
Lineage: Eukaryota; Metazoa; Chordata; Actinopteri; Salmoniformes; Salmonidae
Source: RefSeq, a predicted model, not a curated record